GAAAAUUUUAUCGCUAACAUAUAAAUUAUUGACAAAAAUGGCAAAUUGAACUACAAAUAUUCACUGAGAGACAGAUACAGACCAAAAAUAAUUGGAAUUAGGAAAUAAUAAACAAAUUCUUAACCAAAACGAAGACUAUUCAACUAUAAAAAGGGGAACUCUAUCAAACGUCCAGUUUUAUGUGACAAUAGAUGAUACAUUCACUUAAAUACAAUAUCAAAUUAUUCAUUUAAUUAUAUCUAUUAAAUAUAAUCAUUUGUACUUGUGGUGUAAGACCAUUUGUCCUAGAUAUUAUUAUUCUUUCAAGAAAAAGCAACACAGAGAAAAGGAAAAAGAGAAUGGCGAGCUACAGUAUGAUACAAAUUCCUCUUCCCAUUUCCAUGAAAUUUCAUGAACAAAAAUAAAAAUUAGGGAUUAAGAGUCUAAAUUAAUUGACCCUCUUCUAUACAUGUAAUCUUUGUAUAAUCCACUAAAAUUAAACAAAAGAAUUUAUCCAAUUCGUCUAAAAACAAAGAAAAUCAGCAAGUGAAUCACAUAAAUUCUCAAUCAAAUAAAUAUAAGCCAAAUAGUAAUCAAAACAGGGAACUCUCUUGACAACAGAUUAUAUGCAGGACCAAAACAAAAGAUUCAGGAGGAAGCAAGCAGAUCGCAAGGAGACUUGAGCAUAAAAUUCUGGAAUCUAACAAAAUACUUCUUGAGAGAAUUGAUACAUAAUUAAACAGAUCCAAUAUCAAUGAAAGAUUAUCAACACUCCCCUAGAACUUUCUUUCAAUAACUGAAAUAAAUUAUAAAAUUGAUCAACACAUCAGGUAACAAAACUAUGCUGCAAGAACGGAUAGAUCUACUGUAAAAUUUAAAACAGAAAAACUCGAAAUGUAUUACUUUUCAAACAGCCAAUUUGAAAGGAAAAAUUAUUACGAAUUCGGAACGAAAUUCAAAAGAAGACAAGAGAAGGCUGAAAUACCUUGAAAGGAAAAUUUGAGAACGCUUUACAGAAUUGAUUAGAAGAGAAAUCUGUAUUUGAUGAUCUAUCUGCACAAACGAGGGCAU
This 1050-nucleotide long non-coding RNA is filed under the name Olea europaea subsp. europaea. The record is from RNAcentral. Lineage: Eukaryota; Viridiplantae; Streptophyta; Magnoliopsida; Lamiales; Oleaceae.